AAGUGACACACAUGUGGUUUGUGGGGACGCUACAAAGUUUUUGGCAAACAAUAUGGAAAUUAAAGAAUAGAGUUUGUAUCAUCAUGUGAGAAAAUAGUGUCAGAAUAUCAUUAAGUGUCACACUUUGACAAGUUCAUCAGCUGGUAACAAACCUGUUCACAGCUCAGAUCCAGACUCAGAUUUGGUGCCUUUCAGCGUCUCAACAUGUGUUCGAGUCUCUCCAAUAGCCGCCUGAUUCUUCUGCUCUCCCUGAGUGUGAUGAUGCUCAUCUCUGUAUCAGGAGCUGACCACGUGGGAAAUACCUGCUAUAAAACAUAUUCUAACCAAAAUGCAAGAACCACGUUUGCACCUAAAUGGGCCAAAAACAUCAUCAGCUGCGUUGAAGACAACAGACAUGGCUGCCUUCAUGGCUAUGAGGUCAAAAUAAGCAGAGGAAGAACAUUUUUCCUCAGACCAAACACCGAGUGGCUUAAAAGGAAAAUAAAUGAGGGAACUCUGCUGUGUCCUCCAAUGUUUUCUAAAUGAUGAUGAUGGAAACGAUGAAACAAAAGCUGUAGGACACAAGACCCUAGUGUUUUUUGCCCAUUAUUCAUUAUUAAUUCUUUUCUUCUUUUUUUUCUUUUUUCUUCUUCUUUCACCACCACAGGGAACUCUGUUGUGUCCUCCAGUGUUUUCAAAUAAACAUGUAUAAGCUAUUAAUCUUUAAUGAGUCCUCCCACUGUAGUUUGUAUAUUCCAGCUGCACCACAGUGUUUAGAAGCAGUGACUGUCUGUCAUCUUGUCUCGUAGGUUUCUUAAUUCACACAGUGAUUUUCAUAGAUUUAAUCUAAGUAUAGAUGAUGAAAAUGAUGAAACAAAGUUAAAGUAAAGCAGCUGCUGGAAACAUUUCUGCUCAUUUAUUAGUUCACACUUUGACAGAAAUAUUUGUUAAGAAAUGUAAAUUAUUUUUUGCAAAUUAUUCAUAGCACCUUAACAGUCUUGUGUUCACAUAUAUAUAUAUAUACAAUACAAUACAAAACAAUUUUACUAUAUAACAUGUUUAAAGCCAGGGGGUACACCAAAUUGCUUCACAGUAAGGAAUAAAGAGUAAAAUGAUAACACUGAACAGUAAGUCAUUAAAACAAUGUAAAAUAGAGAAACAAACAAAGGCAUUAGUAAGUAGGGAUUGGCAGAAUUCAUGAUAAUCCCGAGAAAUGAGUAAAGAUACGCCAGUUAGUGAUUGGUGAGGAUUAGCAAAUAUACUACAAGUGUCAUUAAAUAUGAAUGUUAUUCUGUCUUCAAGCUGAGAACAAAGAUAAAUCAAUAAAAGCUUCUGAGAUCAGAUUUUUUAAUGGUCUGUGUGAUUAAUUACCAUUUGCUGUAGGUGUUAUAACUGACAACAAAAUACUUAUUGUUGUGAUUAUUUCAUGAUGACGUCAUGAUCACAGGACAUCAGGAGGCAGCAUUUAACCGAUAUGGCAGAAGUAAAAGUGAACAUUCAGAAAUCACUUGAAAAGUUAUUCACAAAUACAUAUUUUAUUCAUACUUUCAUUAAUGUUGGGUUGCAGGAGCAGCAGACUGAGCA
Long non-coding RNA from Oreochromis aureus, 1563 nucleotides. Lineage: Eukaryota; Metazoa; Chordata; Actinopteri; Cichliformes; Cichlidae. The record is from Ensembl.